Phascolarctos cinereus (koala) is the source of this 1114-nucleotide non-coding RNA. The record is from RefSeq and is a predicted model, not a curated record. NCBI's taxonomy places the organism in Eukaryota, Metazoa, Chordata, Mammalia, Diprotodontia, Phascolarctidae.
GUGACCACCUAGUCCAAAUCAUACACAAAAGGAUUCUCUACUGUAAAAUAACCAAAAUUAUUGUCAUCCAACUGUUGCUGCUCGAAGACUUCCAAGAAGGAGCAACCCACCACUUUUGGACAGCUUUUAUCAUUUAAAAUAAAUUAAUAAGAAAAAACAAAAACUAGACAUCAUUAUAUGUGGUAAAGGCCUAAAAGCAUUAGAGUGGUGAAAACUCAAUAUGACUCAGUGUGACUUGGCAGCCAGAUAUGCUAAUGUGAUCCUGAGCUGCAGGAACAGAGAAACAGAGUGGAAGGUCCAGAGUCCACAUUUUACAACUAUGGAAGGCAGCGUGGUGAAUUUAAAGUCAGGAGAAAUGCACAUUUGAAUUCCAGCUCUGACAUUGUGUGAUUGUGGGCAAACGAUUUUAUGAAUGGGAUCGUUUCCUUUCUCCUUAAAAUGAAAACUUGAAAAACAUCAUUCUGUUCUUCUUGGACUGCUACAUCAGAUGACACCUCUCCACUUCUGCCAUAUUGCCUGACUUUAUGGUGACUGACCUAGCCCAUGUAAAUUUAUGACUACUUGUGUCUACCCUGUGCUGUCUUAGCCUAACAAAGUCAGGACCACCUGAUUCUCCUCCAACACCCUUGUCAGAGGUCUAGGUACAACAAUCAUUCUAUCUCUCAUAGCGCUGGUCCAUGUACCAAGCUCUAAAUGGAGCUUUACAUCAAAGAGGAAGGCAGAAAAUUUGCAGAAUGUCCAAAGCAGUGCUGAAAAGAGUCAGAAAGUAAGACCUCUGAAGAAAGAUUAUUCUCAAUAAUAUCUUAUAUUUACUUCACACUUUGACAUGUGAUUUGUUCCCCCACAUAAUCACUAUGGUGUGGCAUUAUUAAUCCAUCUCCCUGAUGAGAAUAUUGAGGAUGACAGAAUUUAAAUGCUUUCCCAAGUUCAUAUGGCUGAUAUUGGGUAGAACCAGGACUACAACCUGCAUUUUCUGAUCCCUUAGUUCAGUAUUUGAAUUCAUUAAAAAAAAAAAAAGACAGAAUCCUAGUACUGCCCAUUUAGCAGAGUAAUUGUGAAGAUGAAAUGAAGUAUGUGAAAAUGCUAUGAGGAGCAUCUAGGUGGCACCAUGGAU